GCGGGUGUAGCUCAAUGGCAGAGCANGAAGCUUCCCAAGCUUACGACGAGGGUUCGAUUCCCUUCACCCGCUCCA
Molecule: transfer RNA, 75 nt
Filed under: Sphingomonas sp. Root50
Lineage: Bacteria; Pseudomonadati; Pseudomonadota; Alphaproteobacteria; Sphingomonadales; Sphingomonadaceae
Description: tRNA-Gly
Rfam family: tRNA
About the family: Transfer RNA (tRNA) molecules are approximately 80 nucleotides in length.
Source: RNAcentral